CGCGGGGUAGAGCAGAGGCAGCUCGUCGGGCUCAUAACCCGGAGGUCGCAGGUUCGAAUCCUGUCCCCGCUACCA
RNAcentral lists this transfer RNA (75 nucleotides) under Anaerolineales bacterium. RNAcentral's name for it is "tRNA-Met". It matches the Rfam family "tRNA". From Rfam's summary of the family: Transfer RNA (tRNA) molecules are approximately 80 nucleotides in length. Their secondary structure includes four short double-helical elements and three loops (D, anti-codon, and T loops). RNAcentral also lists the same sequence under 1 other name. Lineage: Bacteria; Bacillati; Chloroflexota; Anaerolineae; Anaerolineales. The record is from RNAcentral.